GACGAACGCUGGCGGCGUGCUUAACACAUGCAAGUCGAGCGGUAAGGCCCUUUCGGGGGUACGACGAGCGGCGAACGGGUGAGUAACACGUGGGUGACCUGCCCUCAGCUCUGGGAUAAGCCUGGGAAACCGGGUCUAAUACUGGAUAUGACUCCAUGACGCAUGUUGUGGGGUGGAAAGCCUUGUGCGGCUGAGGAUGGGCCCGCGGCCUAUCAGCUUGUUGGUGGGGUGAUGGCCUACCAAGGCGACGACGGGUAGCCGGCCUGAGAGGGCGACCGGCCACACUGGGACUGAGACACGGCCCAGACUCCUACGGGAGGCAGCAGUGGGGAAUCUUGCGCAAUGGGCGAAAGCCUGACGCAGCGACGCCGCGUGAGGGAUGACGG
This 386-nucleotide ribosomal RNA is filed under the name uncultured bacterium. Its description in RNAcentral is "bacterial SSU rRNA". It matches the Rfam family "Bacterial small subunit ribosomal RNA", at positions 28 to 414 of the family's 1533-position model. The record is from RNAcentral.